Molecule: ribosomal RNA, 462 nt
Filed under: uncultured bacterium
Lineage: Bacteria
Description: partial 16S ribosomal RNA
Rfam family: Bacterial small subunit ribosomal RNA
Source: RNAcentral
GACGAACGCUGGCGGCGUGCUUAACACAUGCAAGUCGAACGGAAAGGCCCUUCGGGGUACUCGAGUGGCGAACGGGUGAGUAACACGUGGGUGAUCUGCCCUGCACUUUGGGAUAAGCCUGGGAAACUGGGUCUAAUACCGAAUAGGACCACGCGCUUCAUGGUGUGUGGUGGAAAGCUUUUGCGGUGUGGGAUGGGCCCGCGGCCUAUCAGCUUGUUGGUGGGGUAAUGGCCUACCAAGGCGACGACGGGUAGCCGGCCUGAGAGGGUGACCGGCCACACUGGGACUGAGAUACGGCCCAGACUCCUCCGGGAGGCAGCAGUGGGGAAUAUUGCACAAUGGGCGCAAGCCUGAUGCAGCGACGCCGCGUGAGGGAUGACGGCCUUCGGGUUGUAAACCUCUUUCACCAGGGACGAAGCGUAAGUGACGGUACCUGGAGAAGAAGCACCGGCCAACUACGUG